This 464-nucleotide ribosomal RNA is filed under the name uncultured Klebsiella sp. Its description in RNAcentral is "bacterial SSU rRNA". It matches the Rfam family "Bacterial small subunit ribosomal RNA", at positions 338 to 795 of the family's 1533-position model. The record is from RNAcentral. Lineage: Bacteria; Pseudomonadati; Pseudomonadota; Gammaproteobacteria; Enterobacterales; Enterobacteriaceae.
CCUACGGGGGGCUGCAGUGGGGAAUAUUGCACAAUGGGCGCAAGCCUGAUGCAGCCAUGCCGCGUGUGUGAAGAAGGCCUUCGGGUUGUAAAGCACUUUCAGCGGGGAGGAAGGCGUUAAGGUUAAUAACCUUGUCGAUUGACGUUACCCGCAGAAGAAGCACCGGCUAACUCCGUGCCAGCAGCCGCGGUAAUACGGAGGGUGCAAGCGUUAAUCGGAAUUACUGGGCGUAAAGCGCACGCAGGCGGUCUGUCAAGUCGGAUGUGAAAUCCCCGGGCUCAACCUGGGAACUGCAUUCGAAACUGGCAGGCUAGAGUCUUGUAGAGGGGGGUAGAAUUCCAGGUGUAGCGGUGAAAUGCGUAGAGAUCUGGAGGAAUACCGGUGGCGAAGGCGGCCCCCUGGACAAAGACUGACGCUCAGGUGCGAAAGCGUGGGGAGCAAACAGGAUUGAUACCCUGGUAGUC